This 459-nucleotide ribosomal RNA is filed under the name uncultured bacterium. RNAcentral describes it as "partial 16S ribosomal RNA". It matches the Rfam family "Bacterial small subunit ribosomal RNA", at positions 339 to 795 of the family's 1533-position model. The record is from RNAcentral.
CUACGGGCUGCAGCAGUGAGGAAUAUUGGUCAAUGGGCGCAAGCCUGAACCAGCCAUGCCGCGUGAAGGAUGAAGGCCUUAUGGGUUGUAAACUUCUUUUAUACGGGAAUAAACUUAGCUAUGUAUAGCUAACUGCAGGUACCGUAAGAAUAAGCACCGGCUAACUCCGUGCCAGCAGCCGCGGUAAUACGGAGGGUGCAAGCGUUAUCCGGAUUUAUUGGGUUUAAAGGGUCCGCAGGCGGACUAAUAAGUCAGUGGUGAAAUCUCUCGGCUCAACCGAGAAACUGCCAUUGAUACUGUUAGUCUAGAGUGUAGUUGGCGUAGGCGGAAUGUAUCAUGUAGCGGUGAAAUGCUUAGAUAUGAUACAGAACACCGAUCGCGAAGGCAGCUUACGAAACUACAACUGACGCUCAGGGACGAAAGCGUGGGAAGCGAACAGGAUUAGAUACCCCUGUAGUC